GACGAACGCUGGCGGCGUGCUUAACACAUGCAAGUCGAACGGAAAGGCCCUGCUUUUGUGGGGUGCUCGAGUGGCGAACGGGUGAGGAACACGUGAGUAACCUGCCCUUGACUUUGGGAUAACUUCAGGAAACUGGGGCUAAUACCGGAUAGGAGCUCCUGCUGCAUGGGGGGGGUGGGAAUGUUUCGGCGGUUGGGGAUGGACUCGCGGCUUAUCAGCUUGUUGGUGGGGUAGUGGCUUACCAAGGCUUUGACGGGUGGCCGGCCUGAGAGGGUGACCGGCCACGUUGGGACUGAGAUGCGGGCCAGACUCCUACGGGAGGCAGCAGUGGGGAAUAUUGCACAGUGGGCGGGAGCCUGGUGCAGCGACGCCGCGUGCGGGGUGACGGCCUUCGGGUUGUAAACCGCUUUCGCCUGUGACGAAGCGUGAGUGACGGUAAUGGGUAAAGAAGCACCGGCUAACUACGUG
This 468-nucleotide ribosomal RNA is filed under the name uncultured bacterium. Its description in RNAcentral is "partial 16S ribosomal RNA". It matches the Rfam family "Bacterial small subunit ribosomal RNA", at positions 28 to 507 of the family's 1533-position model. The record is from RNAcentral.